AGUAACCUUAUUUUUUGUUUUUUCGUGUCCAACGUUUGACCAUUCGUCUUAUUUGAAUUUUUUUGCGAUUAAUAUUUUUAUUCUUACUAGAUGAUAAAACAUGAUUAAAUAAGACGAAUGGUCAAACAUUGGACUCGGAAAAAC
RNAcentral lists this microRNA precursor (144 nucleotides) under Oryza brachyantha (malo sina). Its description in RNAcentral is "MIR812 microRNA precursor family". The stretch from base 16 to 144 matches the Rfam family "MIR812 microRNA precursor family", at positions 15 to 190 of the family's 205-position model. Lineage: Eukaryota; Viridiplantae; Streptophyta; Magnoliopsida; Poales; Poaceae. The record is from Rfam by way of RNAcentral.